Long non-coding RNA from Homo sapiens (human), 2157 nucleotides. RefSeq lists it as uncharacterized. NCBI's taxonomy places the organism in Eukaryota, Metazoa, Chordata, Mammalia, Primates, Hominidae. The transcript is spliced from 2 exons. The record is from RefSeq and is a predicted model, not a curated record.
GAAAGGUACGUUAUCUGACAGAAAUAGCAUGAGACAGUUUUUAAUGCUUUUAAUUUAAUGAUUUCAUGGCACUAAAAUUGCAGCUUCACUCAAACAUAUUUAAUUUAUUCCAUAAUUCCACACAAUUAUUGCUAUUGCUUUUGAUUAGGUAAUGAAAACUGCAAAAUUACUUGCAUUAUUAAACAUUACAAUUACAAACUAGUUAAACUGUUUAUUGAUGUCAAAUCAUACCUAUUUAGAGAUUUGGGUUCAAAAUAUAUUUCAAUUAGUUAUUUUACUCCAUAUUUUCUGUGCAAUUUAUACUCAACACAGACUUUUCCAAUUGUCCUUCAGGGGUCAAGCAUCCUGUUCUGGUUCAUUUUGAUGAAGACAAUGGCAGCAAGGCCAUUGAGAGUCUAAAGAAGAAUAUCUCCAAGCAGGAGUCGCUCCUCAGGGCACAUAACCUCAACGACAAGAGUUACACAUUCCUGAUUUCCUCUGACUAUGAAUAUGUCUAACAGAGGGAGAACUUGUGGAAGCAGCAGCAGAAGUAUUUCAAAAGCUUUUCUCUGAUGUUUGUGGAGCUACAGAUGUUGAUCAACAUGUCUGUCAAACUUCAGACUGCUCACAACAUUCUAAUGACUGUCAACAAAGAAGAUGGUGAAUCUCCUGAGUAUUACAGGUUUCUGAAUAUUGUAGUCCACUCCACCACCAGACUAAAGCAGAGCUUAUGUCUGUACUGAACCCUGGAGAUAGAUUUCUAUUGGUGUUUUGUCAAUUAUAUAUACUUAAAAAUUUGAGAAAGGUAAUAUUUCAAAUAAACAACAAAUAUAUUGCCUAUUGAAGAUGCAACAUGCAUGCAUAUACAUUACUUAAUAUAAGAAAUAAAAUAUAUUGUGAUCUUUCUACUCCUUAGCUCAGCUGGGUCCAAGUUUUUGUCUCAUGACCCGGAAGAAUUAGGCACAUGGACACUGGAGUGAGUGGAGUAGAAUUUUUUAAGCAAAAGGAAAGCUCUCAGCAGAGAGAGUGGUCCUGAAAGCAGGUUGCCAGUUACCCCCUUCACGGUUGAAUACAGGGAAUUUUUUUUAUAAGCUGAUGAGGCUGGGUUCGUUGUUUGUAACAAGGUGCAAAUUCCUGGCAGCUCCACCCCAUCCUUCCAGUGCACAUGCGGGCUCUUAGUCUGAGCCUGUCCAUAUUUAUUUAUUUCCCUUACUGCUCAUGUGCUAAGGAAUGAAAUUUUCCACUGUAGGCCUGUUUAGGCAAGCCUCUUGUGCAAGUUCCCUUAGCUGCAUAAAGCAUCUGGUAUAGGCUAGGCAUGGUGGCUCACAUCUGUAAUCCCAGAACUUUGGGAGGAGGAGGCCAGUGGAUCAUGAGGUCAGGAGAUCGAGACCAUACUGGCUAACAUGGUGAAACCCUGUCUCUAUUAAAAAUACAAAAAAUUAGCCAGGCAUGGUGGCACGUGCCUGUAGUUCCACGUACUUGGGAAGCUGAGGCCAGAGAAUUGCUUGAACCCGGGAGAGGGAGACUACAGUGAGCCUAGAUCACACCACAGAACUCCAGCCUGGGCGACAGGGUGAGACUCCAUCCCCCAAAAAAAAAAAAAAAUAUCUGGUGUAAGACUUGUGGGGUGCAUCAGAGGUUCUCCAGGGACCCUUCUUUUACUUUCUGCAUAAAACAAGUUAUUUAACUCUCCACAAUACUUUAUCAAUAAAAUUGUCUUCUGUACAUGCCUCUCAAUUCCAUUACUUUCUUCCUCCACCUUAGCUCCAAAAGAAAUUGCUAAUCUUAGUUUAAAAAUAAUUUCCUUUUUAAAUUUUUUUCAUCCACGAUAUAUAUUCAUAACACAUAUCCAUAAUAUUUUAUUAUUUGUUUUAAACUUAAAUAGUAUUAUAACAUAGACAUUUGUCUAGGGAUUUUGUUUUCACUUGGUAUUAUGUUGCUGAGAUUCAUUCAUAUUGCCAUAUGACAUUACACAUCUUCCAAUUAUCUCUGAAAUUUCUCUCUUCCUUCCUUAAACCUACUUAAGCCAUGUUUAUCACCAAAUACUCUUUAGCUAAAUCUCUUGUACAAUGUACAAUACAUAUAACUACUUAUAUGUACACUAAUAUAUGCAUUUCCAAGAACACGGGAAAGCUAUACUCAUUUUACAAAUUCUGUAAAUAAAAAUAAUACUAGCAA